This 542-nucleotide ribosomal RNA is filed under the name Lepidophthalmus sinuensis. Its description in RNAcentral is "partial 16S ribosomal RNA". It matches the Rfam family "Bacterial large subunit ribosomal RNA", at positions 1819 to 2625 of the family's 2925-position model. Lineage: Eukaryota; Metazoa; Arthropoda; Malacostraca; Decapoda; Callianassidae. The record is from RNAcentral.
GUCUGCUUGAUUAAUAAAAAGCAGUCUGGCCUGCCCACUGAUAUUUUUUAAAGGCCGCGGUACUCUGACCGUGCGAAGGUAGCAUAAUAAUUAGUCUUUUAAUUGAAGACUGGAAUGAAUGGUCGGACAAAAAGUAAGCUGUCUCAGUUUUAAAAGUUGAAAUUAACUUUUAAGUGAAAAGGCUUAAAUAUUCUGAAAGGACGAUAAGACCCUAUAAAACUUUAUAUAUAAAAUUAUAAACGUCGAUUUAUACAUCCAAAGUCGUUUUAUAAUUUUAUAUAUUACGUUGGGGAGACGUAAGUAAAACAAAUAACUGCUUUUUAUUUUAAACAACCAUAUUUGAUUUAUAAAUGACCCUUUCUAAAGAUCUAAAGAUAAAGUUACUUUAGGGAUAACAGCGUUAUUUUUUUUAAGAGUUCAUAUCGACAAAAAAGUUUGCGACCUCGAUGUUGAAUUAAAGCAACCUUAUAGUGCAGCAAUUAUAAAGGUAGGUCUGUUCGACCUUUAAAAUUUUACAUGAUUUGAGUUCAAACCGGCGUGAG